RNAcentral lists this long non-coding RNA (1589 nucleotides) under Heterocephalus glaber (naked mole-rat). Its description in RNAcentral is "lncRNA (ENSHGLG00000037085.1)". The record is from RNAcentral. Lineage: Eukaryota; Metazoa; Chordata; Mammalia; Rodentia; Bathyergidae.
AGAAAAUUUGACUCUGGCUCUUCAGGGCUACCUGCCCUCCCCAUGUCCACACUGUCACUGACCCCCAAAGAAGAAUGAUCCUGGGUUUUGUUUGGUGAUUUUCAUUCUUCCACCUGAAUGACAUCCCCAUGCCCUGGCUGCCUGUGUGGGAUGUGUACCUGAGCCCCCUCUGGGGCAUGUGUAAGUCUCCAGCCUGGAAUUGCGGUGAAGCCGAAAGCUAUUCUGAGAUGUUCUGUACCCUCACAGCUAUUUCAGGCUCUAGGACUUUCUGCCCAUGUCUCAGCCGCAACUUCCAAGACUGGUCCUUUUAUGUUCCUUACAACCUCAGAUCCAAAAUAGCUCCAACCUGGAGGUGGUGACUGGCAGUAGCAUAGAGGGAGCAGAGAUGUUCAUGGGCCCCUGGCCUGGAGCUAGGCCUGGGGUUUGAGACUGAGCUCCAGAGAGGCAGCCGGGGCUCCACCCCACCCACAAACAGGCAGGCUUUGGGGGAGGGGGAUGCCCCAUGUGGAUCAGUAGCAGCUUGCAGAGCUGGCCUGAUUUCUGCCUGCUGAGCUUUCACUUACGUACCUCUUUCAGGGCUGGCAGUCACUGAUUCAUUCCACAAACAGUUUUGAGUGCCUACUGGAUGGCAGCCACUGUUCCAGAUUCUGGAAGAACAACUGGCAAAAAGAGACAAAAAUCCCUGCUCUUGUGGAGCUUACAUGUAACAAAAAUCAUAUAACUAACUUGCAGAGGUCUUUACAGUUUGCAGAGUGUUUCCCCGUACUUUUUUUUUCAUAGAAAAUCCUACUGUAAGCUCUGCUAACACAGCAUGUGCUGUUUUCUACUUGCCUGUUCUCAUUUAAUAUUUCCAGAAAUCCUCUGAGUUACACACUCCUCUAUUUCACUGAGAAGAGGACACAGACUCCAGAAGACCAGCAUAUGUGUGAGGUCCACAUGGUCAGGAAGUGGCAAAGCAGGAAUAUGAACCUAGUGAACGAAAAGUUCUACAAUGUUAUGAAGACCUCCCUUUUCCAAGGAACAAAAAGUUCUACAGUGAGCUAUAAAGACCUUCCCUUUCUAAGGAAUAGCUUACAAUGAGUACAGCUCAAUUGAUCUCACCAAAAACAGCGAUCUGAUCAAGUCAUCAUGCCAUAAGACCUUCAGGGUCUCCAUCCUCUGGUCACAGCAUACUCUCGAGCUCCUCUUCACCUUCUGCUCUACCAGAUACCCACAUGCCGGCAGUGGGUGAGCAGAGGGCCACACUGCCAUUCUCACUGAGAUAGCUGUUUGUUGUGGAGGACUGUCCUAUGCAUAUAUUCCACCAAAAAAAAUGUAUACACACUUCAGGAAAAGAAAAAUGGCAUGAUGUUUUUCUACAGAUAUCAUUGCCUUUGCCUGAGGACCCCUAGAGGAUGUCAUAUAUCACAGAAAGGCCACUACACUGCCAGCCCUUCGAGAAGAAAUUGAAAAUGCACGUGCAGCCAUCUCAAUGACCAAGGUUACCCAAGCAGUGGUUCACCAUACUAAUAAAUGUCUGGAAGCUAAUACCACCACUUUGAGCACCUCUUGUAAUUGUAGAGGCCAAAGGUAACUUGUGUUAAUCUCAC